UCCAGUCAUGUUCUAUGCCUGCAGAUAGACCACCUAGUUGGAAUCCAGCAUGUGUGUCUAAGUUCUGUGUGUGACUGCCAGAACACCCGCCGAUGUGCUGACUUCCUGAGGUUCCUGGAGUGAUUACCUUCACUCCCUGGGACUGGAGUCACUGGCCGCACAGCUUCCUCCACUCCUGAGCUGGUUCUCCCUGUCUGGGCAAAUUUUUGGCUGGCUCUCCCCAGGUAUGGAUGCCCAGUUUAGAAGAGAUUGACACAUGCAAAGAAGCUAGACCCUGUGCUGACUGAAAGUUGGAUUACUGGAUGCUUUAAACCAAUGAAUAUCAAUAGUCUCCAUCUUCUUGCCAGAAUCUCUGCAUCAGACACCAGGAGAGAAGCAGCAAAUAAAAGAGAACAUAUCCAACUGAUCAAAGACAAGAGGCACCCACUAUGUAGUCACAUUGUGACUCCCAGUUUAAAAUCAUGGAAAAGUUUCCUUUCUAAAAUACAGCCACUGGAUAAAACACCAACAGACACAUGAAUAAAUGUGGCAGUUCAUUGACCCAGGAGGGAGUUAGAAUGAAUAUCAAAACUGCUGAGCAUUUCCCUGCAGGUGCAGAGCUCAGUUGGUCAAUAUGGAGAAGCUUGAACCACAUCCGAACAGGGGUCAGUAAGACAAAAGUUAACAUGCAACUAUGGGGAUACACCAACACCAUGUUUGAAUAUGGAGGAAACUUUCAGACUACAGAACUCCUGAUGCUCACAUAUAAGAGAAUGAAGUAUCAACAAGGACCUUGCUAAAGCUACAGAUUGAGCAAUAGUAGGUGCCUGUUACUAGACCCACAUUUGAACAUGGUGACAUGACAUGAGAAGACUGAAAAAUAGUGCUAGUAAGCACCCUAUAUCUUAAAGUGCAUUGCUUUCUAUAACUACAUCUUGGGCAAACCACUGGCGGCUGGGAUGAGACAAGCUAUUUCCUUAAUCCAACAGAUCUCAAAGGCCUUAUGGGACAACAAUAUCAGGAUGACCACUGAGUAGAUGGAUAGGAUUUUCCAAGGUCUACUAGACUCUUUCUAUACUUCAGCCUCACUUUAUCCUUUGUCUUUGUGUCUAUAAAACACAAGAUUCAUUACAUUUAUUUUUAAGACAAUGAAAUUACACAUUAAAAGUGGGUUUUACAAAAGUGUCAGCAUUACGUUAACUCUCUGCCAUUGAAACCAGUGGGAUGUUUGUUUGAGGGAGUUUAAGUUAUUCUUAUGCAAACAGCUUCAAAUUAUCUUCUCAUAUGUCAUUUAUUCUUAUUUCAUGUAGAUUGUAUCCCUGUUUUCAUAUCUUUUUUCUCUCUCUUGGUUUUGAAACUGUCAUGCUCAGCUUUCAGUCACCUUCAGUCCUUUCCAAGUGAUAAUGUAUAUGUUUCCACAUCACAUAGCAUUACUGUAACAUACUGACUAUUCUUUCAAAACUCAUUUUGUGUAAUUUUUCCAUAGUCUGAUCAGAGCAACUUUUUAAUGUUUUCUUGGUACAUUAGCACUGUGAAAUUGCUGCUAACACUAUCAGCCAAUUAGCAACUCCUUAAUCUGCUAUAUUGUUUGUCAAGCCUGUGUGACAGAAUGACAGGGUACCAUACUAAUUAGCUGACUCCUUCAUAAGUAGAAAAUUGCUCCUUGUUUGACAAAUAUUUUAAGUAAAAAAAAGUGGAGACCUGAAAGUCUAGAAACAAAUUUAGUCAUGGAAGGUUUCAUUAAAGGGUACUGAAUAGCUCAGGUAAUUGGUAAUGGGAGAAAAGACCUUUUACCUUUUUGUAAUAAAUCAGAAAAAUUAGUGAGUGGAAGGAAUGGAAGUAACUUCUAAAUGUGUUAAUUAAGAGCAGGGUUUAAAGUCUGAUGAGUUUAUGAACCUCAGCCUAUGCUUGAGGAAAUUGGGUUUACUGAGGCUGAUGUUAAGUAAUCAGCUGGGAAGACACCCAACCUCUCUGCAUACAUCUGGCCUCCCUCAUUACCAGUAAAAGUAGUGUCUAUGUCUUUAGCUUCCAGCCUUGUAACUUUCUGAAGAGAAGGUCUUAGGACGUGUACAUGGGAGAUGGGUGAUUUUUUUUGGAGAGUGGGAGAGGCUGGGAAUAGAAGUUGCCUUUGUAAGCCUUAGUUCAUUUAAUUCAGUCCUGCAGUGUUGACAAUGACCAUGUUACUGUCUGUGCAACAUCAAAUUCCUGUUUUAUCCAAAAUAUUACAAUAAACAGUACCAUAUAACUUCUACCAACUGACUCCUGUGGCUAGACUUGUCUCAGGCUCUACAUCAGCUAUGAACAAGAGUAGUCUUUCAGGGAAGGAGUUUUUGGUCCUGGGUGAAUGGGGAAUAUACCCAAUGACUGUAAACACCUGGGAAUAUUAUCGUAAUAGUGAAAUGUUUUAGACCAUAAUUGAGGGGCUUUCAAUUGCUGAGUUCCCAGGGAGCUAAGAAUGUGUCAGCUGUUCUCCCAUAGCACAUCAGUUGGAAGUUCCCUGUAUGCUAAGCAGACCACACCAACAUAGACAGGAAUAAAGAAACAGGAAUGUGACCCUAUAUUUGUCAUUAAAAUAAAUCAA
Long non-coding RNA from Alligator sinensis (Chinese alligator), 2560 nucleotides. RefSeq lists it as uncharacterized. The record is from RefSeq and is a predicted model, not a curated record. The transcript has 3 exons. Lineage: Eukaryota; Metazoa; Chordata; Crocodylia; Alligatoridae.